Molecule: long non-coding RNA, 142 nt
Organism: Gasterosteus aculeatus aculeatus (three-spined stickleback)
Lineage: Eukaryota; Metazoa; Chordata; Actinopteri; Perciformes; Gasterosteidae
Source: RefSeq, a predicted model, not a curated record
GAACGAACCGAGCACCGAGUGUGAGCAAGAAACAAGAAUAGGGGAGAUCCGGGACAGCGGAGGACAGAGAGAGUCUGGCGGAGAAGCUGGAGCCGGACGCGUGUUGGAUAAGACUGCAAUAAAGACUGUUGCUUGAACGUUA